Molecule: ribosomal RNA, 293 nt
Filed under: Escherichia coli
Lineage: Bacteria; Pseudomonadati; Pseudomonadota; Gammaproteobacteria; Enterobacterales; Enterobacteriaceae
Description: partial 23S ribosomal RNA
Rfam family: Bacterial large subunit ribosomal RNA
Source: RNAcentral
AAGCAUCAGGUAACAUCAAAUCGUACCCCAAACCGACACAGGUGGUCAGGUAGAGAAUACCAAGGCGCUUGAGAGAACUCGGGUGAAGGAACUAGGCAAAAUGGUGCCGUAACUUCGGGAGAAGGCACGCUGAUAUGUAGGUGAAGACCCUCGCGGAUGGAGCUGAAAUCAGUCGAAGAUACCAGCUGGCUGCAACUGUUUAUUAAAAACACAGCACUGUGCAAACACGAAAGUGGACGUAUACGGUGUGACGCCUGCCCGGUGCCGGAAGGUUAAUUGAUGGGGUCAGCGCA